CCCUCGGCACAUAAGGCCCAUCAGGCAUAUAGAUUCCAGCAGGAUGGCGUUGCCCUCGUUCAAAUCGCUGCCAUGUGACGGGCUCUAAGUCCCAUAGCCCCAAUUGUGACCCAAUUCGAUGAGCAAAAGUGUGUGUGUGUGUGUGCGCGGGGCUCUUGGCCAUUUAACGAUUAGUGGCCAUAACGGCAAAGUGUUUGUUUAUUUUGUUGUGCGGCCGCAGAAACGAUUCCAAAAAUGAUUGCAUAAUUGACUUUUGGGGGGACAAAUCGCGCGACACGCUCAGCAUACAUUUCGAUUUGUGUUCCUAUUUCACUUGUGAUUCCAAUACAAUUCAUGAGCCAUGAAGAAGCUUCACCUGGGCGCCAAGCACAAGGGCAAGUCCUACAAGCCCUUCAGGAACAAGAACCGUCGGGGUUCUGCCGACUCGAACUACUCACAACCGUCAUCCGAUCUGUCGCUAGACGAGGAAAAGGAAUCGCUUCGGCGAGAAAAGGAACGUCAGGCCUUAAGCCAGUUGGAUAAAGCGAGGAGCAAACCAGUGGCGUUCGCUGUGCGAACCAACGUAGCAUACGAUGGCGCCAUCGACGACGAUUCGCCGGUGCAGGGCGGAGCAGUUUCGUUCGAGAUCCGGGAGUUCCUGCACAUCAAAGAGAAGUACGACAAUAACUGGUGGAUCGGCCGGCUGGUCAAGGAGGGCUGUGAUGUGGGCUUCAUACCCAGCCCCGCUAAGCUAGACAACAUUCGCAUGCAGAACCAAACCAGACCCUCAAGACUGUAUGGCACAAAGGGCUCGUCGAGCGGGAAUCUUGGUGCGGGCGGACAAGCAGGUGCGGAGCCAUCUCGAGAUUCCAUGGGACCAGGACGACACGGCAAGACACCGGCGGCGGCGGCCAACAAGGAGAAGCGGAAGCCGUUCUUCAAGAAACAGGAGACGGCCAGUCCCUACGAUGUGGUGCCUUCGAUGCGUCCCGUCGUCCUAGUGGGGCCCAGUUUGAAGGGCUACGAGGUGACCGACAUGAUGCAGAAGGCCCUCUUCGACUUCCUCAAGCACCGCUUCGAGGGCCGCAUCAUCAUCACCCGGGUGAUGGCCGACAUCUCGCUGGCCAAGCGCUCCAUCAUGAACAAUCCCUCGAAGCGGGCCAUCAUGGAGCGAUCCUCCAGCCGGAGCGACUGCCUCGGCAAGGUGCAGGAGGAGAUCGAGCGCAUCUUCGAGCUGGCCCGCUCGCUCCAGCUGGUCGUGCUCGAUUGUGAUACAAUCAAUCAUCCGUCACAACUAGCGAAAACUUCAUUAGCGCCAACAAUAGUGUACUUAAAGAUUAGUAGUAGUAAGGUUUUACAGCGUUUGAUCAAAUCACGUGGCAAGUCGCAGGCGAAAAACCUCUCCGUUCAAAUGGUUGCCGCCGAGAAGCUAGCCCAAUGUCCACCGGAUAUGUUCGAUGUAAUCCUAGACGAGAAUCAGCUGGAAGACGCCUGCGAGCACAUUGCCGAGUACUUAGAGACGUACUGGAAGGCCACCCACCCGGACAUUCGAGCCGUGCCGCCCAUCGCCCGCCCCCUGCCGCAGGAGGCCUCGCCCUCCGCAGAUCCCGCGCGUCUGGGACCGACGCCUCCAGUUACACCGGGCGUUGUGCGCCUGUAAGCCGCCGCAAUCCGCGCCAAGCCCUUCUACUCGAAUUCUCACAUUCUUCCGGGUGUUUUCCUAGAUCAGCUCAACUCAACCCAAAUCAGCUCAGUUAUAAUAUUUAUAUAUGUGUACAUGUAUUCCGUUGUUGUCGAACCUUAUGUUUUCACCAUUUCAAGUUGCAAAACCAAAUCAUCCAAUCGUUUAGAUCUGGUUUAGAGGAACCUCUUACCAGCACAGCCGCCGACAACCGACCUCGGUUCGCCACCAGGAGCGCGGCGGAGGAGUGGGCGCAGGCGGC
This 1922-nucleotide unclassified non-coding RNA is filed under the name Drosophila erecta. Its description in RNAcentral is "GG10318". Lineage: Eukaryota; Metazoa; Arthropoda; Insecta; Diptera; Drosophilidae. The record is from RNAcentral.